Molecule: ribosomal RNA, 253 nt
Filed under: uncultured bacterium
Lineage: Bacteria
Description: partial 16S ribosomal RNA
Rfam family: Bacterial small subunit ribosomal RNA
Source: RNAcentral
UACAGAGGGUGCGAGCGUUAAUCGGAAUUACUGGGCGUAAAGGGUUUGUAGGUGGCUUGUUAAGUCAGACGUGAAAUCCCUCAGCUUAACUGGGGAACUGCGUCUGAUACUGGCGAGCUUGAGUGCAGGAGAGGAACGCGGAAUUCCAGGUGUAGCGGUGAAAUGCGUAGAUAUCUGGAGGAACACCGGUGGCGAAGGCGGCGUUCUGGACUGUAACUGACACUGAGAAACGAAAGCCAGGGUAGCAAACGGG